AUGGAUGUCCUAGAACAGGGUGGAUCUGAGACGGAGGCAGCGGACUUUGCUCCUAGGAAAGGAGGGUUGGGAAAACCAGCCUCUAGGAAAGCAGCGUUCUCCCUGGUGAAGACGGCAUCGAUGUGUAUCUGGUUCCGGCAGCAUCCUGAUCACCAUGAAUCGAGGAUGGCAAGCAACACGCCUACCUGUUUUGGAGAAAAGGUAGCAAAGGAGAGAAGAGACUCUGUCCCAGAGUCUGGGCACAAAAUCCAGCACUUUCAACAGGCCAAACUCCUGGGCUUGAUGCUAAGGCCUCCUGAGCAAGUAAAGGAGGGAAAAAGGGACUUUCCUGGCAGUCCAGGGGUUAAGACUCCACACUUCCACUGCAGGCAAGCACGACGUGACUAGGAAAUUUAAAAAAAAAAAAUGAAAGGAGGGAAAGAGAUGUUUGUGGACUUACUUUUUACGUUCUAGGAGUUACCUGGUGAUCCCGGCAUGGCCACGCGGGUCAGACUCACAUAAGACAACCCCUUCCCGGAAUCACGUAUUCACUUCCAGAACUACCAAGUAUGGGUUCACCCAACCCUUCCUCUUCCUGUUUAUGUUUUGUCUGUAAUAUUCAUAAACACAAUGAAUUGUAUGAUUAGGACUUCCAUUUUUUUCUUCUUCUUUAAAUUACCUUUUAAAAUUCAAGAUCUUCUCUGGGUUUCUGUCUCACAGGUUAAUUAUAGGGUUGAUUCAUUUAUUCGUUCAACAAACAUUAAACAGUAAUUUCGGGCCAGGGUUGCAGAGCCAAGCGAGACCUGCUGCCGGGUCUGGUAGUCUGGUGAGGACAGACGUAUGGAGAAUUUAAACGGUGAGAAAGUGCUGAGGAGGGGACCUGGGCCGAGUGCUGAGGCACAUUAGCGAGUAUGAACUCUGUGGGUGGGGCUGGGGAAGGCUCUGAGCUGAGCUGCUGUUGGAGCUGCGUCUGGCAGGAGCAUCUCCAGGCCCCUGUGGGACCUCCCCCGAGUUUUCUGUCUUCUCCAAACAAGAGCUUAGCAAAAGCUGCCCUGGGCAAAAGCUCUGCCCUUAGCAAAUGCAUUUGAAACCCUACUUCCCCAGUGCUGUUUUUAUUCUUGAGUUUCCUUCCGCACUAGCUCAGCUGACUUUCCCAAAAGGAAUAUGUGGCUGGUAUAUUUGGUGUGUUCCUGUCACUUCAUCGCCUCCUAGGAACAAGUGAGCACUUUAAAAUUGGGAAAGAUUCUCCUGAAUUUGAAGGGUUUACAGGAACUCUAGCUGGGCAGGGGACCAGAUCCCAUGAAACACCCUUUCCAAAACUCAAAUUCAGUUUGUACAACAAUAAGCAGGGAUGCUUGCAAUGAAAAAAACAAAACCAAAUGAAAAGAAACCUCACAGGUUGUUCCAGUUCACUCCCAGAAAUUGAUUCUUUAGACCCAGGAUGCUGUCAUGAAAUUUUUCAGAAGCGACCCACCUGUUCGUGCUGGUGGGUUGCUUGUGAAAGCAACUGGCCAUCUUUGCCUCUGCAGGUUCUUACCGCUUAUUUGGAGGCCUACUUGGGCUGCUGCUAAGUGAAGAGAUUCCUCCAGUAAACAAGGUUCGGGGGGUGGGGAAGGGGGCUUGGAGGAUCCAACCAAGCCUCUGGCUUAAGAAGGAGCCAGAGAACCACUUGGGGCAUCGUCCACAGCUGGGAAAAAGCUCACUGAAGGCCUCACUGCAGAAGGGUCCACAGGAACAUCACUGAUCCAUUAGCAAGCAAUGCUGGUCAGGCUCCCGACUGAAAGGCUAAGGUCCUUCUAGAGGAGGAGACAAUAACAUACCCCAUCUGCUGAGAGCAUUACAGUUCCCAAAGGGCUUCACUGCAUGAUCUCAUCUGACCAUCACGGUCACCACAUGUGAGAAACAGGUUUUGAUUCCUGUAACCCUGGCAGCACCAAGAGAUGCUGGGUGAGACUUCAGCAUCACCCUGGCCGGCUCCCCGUUCC
Molecule: long non-coding RNA, 1964 nt
Filed under: Bos grunniens (domestic yak)
Lineage: Eukaryota; Metazoa; Chordata; Mammalia; Artiodactyla; Bovidae
Description: lncRNA (ENSBGRG00000020607.1)
Source: RNAcentral